The sequence is a transfer RNA, 103 nucleotides long. It matches the Rfam family "tRNA". Rfam says of the family: Transfer RNA (tRNA) molecules are approximately 80 nucleotides in length. The record is from Rfam.
GCCCGGUUAGCUCAAUCGGUAGAGCGUGAGACUCUUAGCUUGCGCAUCUAAGUGCAACGAGUACGCGAUCUCAAGGUUGCGGGUUCGACCCCCGCAUCGGGCU